RNAcentral lists this unclassified non-coding RNA (220 nucleotides) under uncultured Propionibacteriaceae bacterium. RNAcentral's name for it is "contains 16S-23S intergenic spacer region". It matches the Rfam family "Bacterial small subunit ribosomal RNA", at positions 976 to 1197 of the family's 1533-position model. Lineage: Bacteria; Bacillati; Actinomycetota; Actinomycetes; Propionibacteriales; Propionibacteriaceae. The record is from RNAcentral.
UGGGUUUGACAUACACGGUUUACCGGCAGAGAUGUCGGGUCCUUUUGGGUCGUGUACAGGUGGUGCAUGGCUGUCGUCAGCUCGUGUCGUGAGAUGUUGGGUUAAGUCCCGCAACGAGCGCAACCCUUAUCCCAUGUUGCCAGCGGGUUAUGCCGGGGACUCAUGGGAGACUGCCGGGGUCAACUCGGAGGAAGGUGGGGAUGACGUCGGAGGAAUUCCA